Molecule: long non-coding RNA, 277 nt
Filed under: Olea europaea (common olive)
Lineage: Eukaryota; Viridiplantae; Streptophyta; Magnoliopsida; Lamiales; Oleaceae
Description: long non-coding RNA (OEUR_LNC012309)
Source: RNAcentral
UGCCAGAAGCUCAACCAGUUUAAAUAAAUUGAGCUUCAGCCAGCAGCAUUGUAUUCCCACUCUUGAACUCAUUCGGGCUUUUGUCCGUUAGACUAUAAGAAAUAGCUUUGUGUUCCACCAUUUUUAGUAUCUCACAACUUUUUUGCAUUAGUCAAAGUUAUAUCAUCCUCAAACUUUAUGUUGAACCCCUACAUAAUCCUAGAGUUAUGUCAGAGCUCUAGUUCCUUCCUAGAUGUAUUUAUUGCACCAGCCAAUCUUGGCUCAUAUCUUUGGUCUU